AUUGAACGCUGGCGGCAGGCCUAACACAUGCAAGUCGAACGAGUGGCGGACGGGUGAGUAAUGUCUGGGAAAUUGCCUGAUGGAGGGGGAUAACUACUGGCAACGGUAGCUAAUACCCAAUAGCAUCAUCUGGGCCCAGAUGGGAUUUGCUUGUUGGGGGGGAAACGGCUCACCAAGGCGACGAGCCCUAGCUGGUCUGAGAGGUGGACCAGCCACACUGGAACUUAGACACGGUCCAGACUCCUACGGGAGGCAGCAGUGGGGAAGAUUGCACAAUGGGCGCAAGCCUGAUGCAGCCAUGCCGCGUGUAUGAAGAAGGCCUUCGGGUUGUAAAGUACUUUCAGCUGGGAGGCGUUACCCGCAGAAGAAGCACCGGCUAACUCCGUGCCAGCAGCCGCGGUAAUAC
Molecule: ribosomal RNA, 406 nt
Filed under: uncultured bacterium
Lineage: Bacteria
Description: partial 16S ribosomal RNA
Rfam family: Bacterial small subunit ribosomal RNA
Source: RNAcentral